ACUGCCUGAUGGAGGGGGAUAACUACUGGAAACGGUAGCUAAUACCGCAUAACGUCGCAAGACCAAAGAGGGGGACCUUCGGGCCUCUUGCCAUCGGAUGUGCCCAGAUGGGAUUAGCUUGUUGGUGGGGUAACGGCUCACCUAGGCGACGAUCCCUAGCUGGUCUGAGAGGAUGACCAGCCACACUGGAACUGAGACACGGUCCAGACUCCUACGGGAGGCAGCAGUGGGGAAUAUUGCACAAUGGGCGCAAGCCUGAUGCAGCCAUGCCGCGUGUAUGAAGAAGGCCUUCGGGUUGUAAAGUACUUUCAGCGGGGAGGAAGGGAGUAAAGUUAAUACCUUUGCUCAUUGACGUUACCCG
This 361-nucleotide ribosomal RNA is filed under the name Escherichia coli. RNAcentral describes it as "bacterial SSU rRNA". It matches the Rfam family "Bacterial small subunit ribosomal RNA", at positions 125 to 481 of the family's 1533-position model. The record is from RNAcentral. Lineage: Bacteria; Pseudomonadati; Pseudomonadota; Gammaproteobacteria; Enterobacterales; Enterobacteriaceae.